GUGCCAGCCGCCGCGGUAAUACCGGCAGCACGAGUGAUGGCCGCUCAAAUUGGGCCUAAAGCGUCCGUAGGGGGCCGAGCAAGUUCGUUGGGAAAUCUGCCCGCAAAACGGGCAGGCGUCCGGCGAAAACUGUCCGGCUUCCGGCCGGAAGACCUGAGGCCUACGUCCGGGGUAGGAGUGAAAUCCUGUAAUCCUGGACGGACCACCGGUGGCGAAGGCGCCUCAGGAAAACGGACCCGACGGUGAGGGACGAAAGCUAGGGUCUCGAACCGGAUUAGAAACCCCGGUAGUCC
Molecule: ribosomal RNA, 293 nt
Filed under: uncultured prokaryote
Description: partial 16S ribosomal RNA
Rfam family: Archaeal small subunit ribosomal RNA
Source: RNAcentral